GACAGCUUGGCCGAGUGGUCUAAGGCGAUAGAUUUAAGUUUACUGGCUCUUACGAGUCCGUUCAAAUCUCUAUUGACGCAAGUCGCGCGAGUUCGAACCUCGCAGCUGUCA
Non-coding RNA from Xylaria digitata, 111 nucleotides. Lineage: Eukaryota; Fungi; Ascomycota; Sordariomycetes; Xylariales; Xylariaceae. The record is from the annotation of a GenBank genome assembly.